Long non-coding RNA from Apus apus (common swift), 1017 nucleotides. RefSeq lists it as uncharacterized. The record is from RefSeq and is a predicted model, not a curated record. The transcript is spliced from 3 exons. NCBI's taxonomy places the organism in Eukaryota, Metazoa, Chordata, Aves, Apodiformes, Apodidae.
ACCAGGCACAGUAUACUGGGGGAAAACCUGUUAGAGCAUUCAGUUUUAUAAGCCAGGGAUAUCUACUAAGGCUGGCUUUGAAGGUAGAACAGGAGAGGUGGCAGGAAAGUGAACACAGGACGGCACCAUCACGCUGUCACCAAAUGACCUUCAAUACACCUUGCUGUUUUCAGUGUACAGUGCUGCACUCAGAAGGAAAAGACUGCUUUUGUCUUCUCUUUGUCAGCUGAAUGGGAGCAGACUGUCUCUGCAAACGUAACCCUGCUUGUGUGCUGCAUACUUCUGAAAAGUCUGACCAUCAUGUAAAGGCUGCAAGGAAAGGAGCUCGUAGAUGUCAUCUUAUCCAUCUGAUUCAUGGAUGAAAUAACAAAUAAAGGGAUAAUUUGCAGUGAGGGUUGAAUAUAAUUUCCUUUUAUUUCUACCAACUUUGUAAGAUAUCUCUUGGGUCAUCUCUGAACUUUCUGGAUUCCAUUAUAAUUGUCUUCACUGAAAUACAUUUGUUAUUCUCAGGCCUAGCCUAAUGAAUUAUCCAAAUCCUUCUGAAUGUGUUUGCUCUGCUCCUUAUUAUUCAUACUUUGUUCCCGUUUAUUAUCUUCUGCAGUGAAAAUCUAGCUUUCAAAUCCCUCUUCCAAAUCACUCAUAAGAAUAAGCUCUUCAUCUUCUCAGCAAAUAAAAUAUAGCUCAGAAUUAAUGGUCAAAAGCAUUUGCUAUAUGCUGUACCUAGUAUUUCUGUUAACUUUUUGGACUUAGACAUUUACCAAUGGUUUGCUUUUCUCAGCCUGCAAAAGUGUAGCUGUGCAGCAAACUCGAAGCUGCCAGACUGUGAGAUCAAAAGCUGACUGGAGGCUUAAAUUCUGUAUCAGAUUUUUGUAUUGUAAGUGUAUUUCUCAUGCAAGUCAAAGUUUAGACAUCAUGUAUCCAUUUCUGAAAAUACACCUGCCAGUCUGAAUUGUCUUCCACGUGUUAUUUUCUCAGUCUUAGAAAUACGGGAAUGAUUGGUAAUAAGAAAAUGUUUGA